This 232-nucleotide ribosomal RNA is filed under the name uncultured bacterium. RNAcentral's name for it is "partial small subunit ribosomal RNA". It matches the Rfam family "Bacterial small subunit ribosomal RNA", at positions 26 to 288 of the family's 1533-position model. The record is from RNAcentral.
AGAACGAACGCUGGCGGCAGGCUUAACACAUGCAAGUCGAACGCCCCGCAAGGGGAGUGGCAGACGGGUGAGUAACACGUGGGAACGUGCCCUAAGGUACGGAACAACUCCGGGAAACUGGAGCUAAUACCGUAUGUGCCCGAGAGGGGAAAGAUUUAUCGCCUUGGGAUCGGCCCGCGUCUGAUUAGCUAGUUGGUAGGGUAAUGGCCUACCAAGGCUACGAUCAGUAGCU